This is a non-coding RNA of Desulfobacteraceae bacterium IS3, 46 nucleotides long. NCBI's taxonomy places the organism in Bacteria, Pseudomonadati, Thermodesulfobacteriota, Desulfobacteria, Desulfobacterales, Desulfobacteraceae. The record is from Rfam.
CCCGGCAAUGAAUUGCCGGGCUAUUAUGGGAUGUCCCUACGGGACA